AAGGUGAUUGAGUUGCUA
RNAcentral lists this non-coding RNA (18 nucleotides) under Arabidopsis thaliana (thale cress). The record is from RNAcentral. Lineage: Eukaryota; Viridiplantae; Streptophyta; Magnoliopsida; Brassicales; Brassicaceae.